CUAAUACCGCAUAAGCCCACGACCCGGCAUCGGGUAGAGGGAAAAGGAGCAAUCCGCUUUGAGAUGGCCUCGCGUCCGAUUAGCUAGUUGGUGAGGUAACGGCCCACCAAGGCGACGAUCGGUAGCCGGACUGAGAGGUUGAACGGCCACAUUGGGACUGAGACACGGCCCAGACUCCUACGGGAGGCAGCAGUGGGGAAUAUUGCACAAUGGGGGAAACCCUGAUGCAGCGACGCCGCGUGGAGGAAGAAGGUCUUCGGAUUGUAAACUCCUGUUGUUGAGGGAGAUAAUGACGGUACUCAACAAGGAAGUGACGGCUAACUACGCGCCAGCAGCCGCGGUAAAACGUAGGUCACAAGCGUUGUCCGGAAUUACUGGGUGUAAAGGGAGCGCAGGCGGGAAGACAAGUUGGAAGUGAAGUCCAUGGGCUCAACCCAUGAACUGCUUUCAAAACUGUUUUUCUUGAGUAGUGCAGAGGUAGGCGGAAUUCCCGGUGUAGCGGUGGAAUGCGUAGAUAUCGGGAGGAACACCAGUGGCGAAGGCGGCCUACUGGGCACCAACUGACGCUGAGGCUCGAAAGUGUGGGUAGCAAACAGGAUUAGAUACCCUGGUAGUCCACACUGUAAAC
This 628-nucleotide ribosomal RNA is filed under the name uncultured bacterium. Its description in RNAcentral is "bacterial SSU rRNA". It matches the Rfam family "Bacterial small subunit ribosomal RNA", at positions 163 to 807 of the family's 1533-position model. The record is from RNAcentral.